Molecule: ribosomal RNA, 406 nt
Filed under: uncultured bacterium
Lineage: Bacteria
Description: partial 16S ribosomal RNA
Rfam family: Bacterial small subunit ribosomal RNA
Source: RNAcentral
AUUGAACGCUGGCGGCAGGCCUAACACAUGCAAGUCGAACGAGUGGCGGACGGGUGAGUAAUGUCUGGGAAAAUGCCUGAUGGAGGGGGACAAAAACUGGAAACGGUAGCUAAUACCGCAUACCAUCAGAUGUGCCCAGAUGGGAUUAGCGUGUUGGUGGGGUAACGGCUCACCAAGGCGACGAUCCUGAGCUGGUCUGCGAGGAUGACCUGCCACACUGGCACUGAGACACGGUCCAGACUCCUACGGGAGGCAGCAGUGGGGCAUAUUGCACAAUGGGCGCAAGCCUGAUGCAGCCAUGCCGCGUGUAUGAAGAAGGCCUUCGGGUUGUAAAGUACUUUCAGCAGGGAAGCGUUACCCGCAGAAGAAGCACCGGCUAACUCCGUGCCAGCAGCCGCGGUAAUUC